This 154-nucleotide ribosomal RNA is filed under the name Pleosporales sp. TKPB-2017. RNAcentral's name for it is "5.8S ribosomal RNA". It matches the Rfam family "5.8S ribosomal RNA". From Rfam's summary of the family: 5.8S ribosomal RNA (5.8S rRNA) is a component of the large subunit of the eukaryotic ribosome. It is transcribed by RNA polymerase I as part of the 45S precursor that also contains 18S and 28S rRNA. Functionally, it is thought that 5.8S rRNA may be involved in ribosome translocation. Lineage: Eukaryota; Fungi; Ascomycota; Dothideomycetes; Pleosporales. The record is from RNAcentral.
AACUUUUAACAAUGGAUCUCUUGGUUCUGGCAUCGAUGAAGAACGCAGCGAAAUGCGAUAAGUAGUGUGAAUUGCAGAAUUCAGUGAAUCAUCGAAUCUUUGAACGCACAUUGCGCCCCUUGGUAUUCCAUGGGGCAUGCCUGUUCGAGCGUCA